CUCUCUGUACGGCGAGUGAACGGGAAUAGCCCAGCACGAAACGGCUGCCUUUUCGGCGGAUGUACUGUGGUGUUAGGGACCGUCCAAGUGCGUCGAUCGGAUCCCCUGGUUCGCUUGAACGCGGCCGGUGCCAGAGAGGGUGCCAGUCCCGUAUGCGUUCGGACGGCGCACGCGGACCCGUUCUUAUAGUCGGGUUGUUUGAGAUUGCGCCCGAGCUGGUGGUAAACUCCAUCUAAGUAAAUACUGGCACGAGUCCAUAGCGAACAAUACCGUGAGGGAAAGUUGAAAAGAACUUUGAAGAGAGAGUUCAACAUACGUGAAACCGUCCAGAAGCAACGGACAGGACCGCAUUGUUCGCGCGUCGGAUUCAUCCGUCUGCCCGGCGCUGGCGUCUCUGGAACAUCCCUCUCGGGAGCUCCGGGACGUCUGUCGCUAGGCGGCGGCCGUACUUUCUACGUGCGGAGCGCCUUUACCGGUUUGCGGGCGGCGACAACGCUCGGCUAGUGAGACGUUGCGGCGUCGGUCAUACAGGCCCGGUAUCGCCUCUCCGUCCGCGGCGAAGGAAGCCGUUAUCGGUUCGCGUCUGGCCGCUGGCCGUGCUGGGCGUCCUUGCGGGGACUGGAGUGCUCGCAGACC
This 636-nucleotide ribosomal RNA is filed under the name Drawida japonica. RNAcentral describes it as "partial 28S ribosomal RNA". It matches the Rfam family "Eukaryotic large subunit ribosomal RNA", at positions 77 to 607 of the family's 3401-position model. Lineage: Eukaryota; Metazoa; Annelida; Clitellata; Moniligastrida; Moniligastridae. The record is from RNAcentral.